This 215-nucleotide ribosomal RNA is filed under the name Glomus sp. RNAcentral's name for it is "partial small subunit ribosomal RNA". The stretch from base 38 to 215 matches the Rfam family "Eukaryotic small subunit ribosomal RNA", at positions 685 to 864 of the family's 1831-position model. Lineage: Eukaryota; Fungi; Glomeromycota; Glomeromycetes; Glomerales; Glomeraceae. The record is from RNAcentral.
GGAUCAAUUUGUUGGUCGUGCUUAGGUACGUACUGGCAUUAUUGGUCUCUCCCCUCUGACGAACCACGAUGUCAUUAAUUUGGUGUUGUGGGAAAUCAGGACUGUUACUUUGAAAAAAUUAGAGUGUUUAAAGCAAGCUCACGCUUGAAUACAUUAGCAUGGAAUAAUGAAAUAGGACGUUUGAUUCUAUUUUGUUGGUUUCUAGGAUCGACGUA